Long non-coding RNA from Felis catus (domestic cat), 1565 nucleotides. RefSeq lists it as uncharacterized. Lineage: Eukaryota; Metazoa; Chordata; Mammalia; Carnivora; Felidae. The transcript has 2 exons. The record is from RefSeq and is a predicted model, not a curated record.
UUCCUUUAACCCCUUUACUUCUUUUUCCAAUUAGGUACACCGUUCCUGAGGAGCUGUGAAGCGUCAAGAACUCUAAGGCUAGGAAAGAUAAACAAGACCUGUUCUUGUUUUUAAAAAGCUAAUAAUAAUACAGUAGAAAAGAGGAAAUUUCCUACAAAUAGGAUGGCCUCGGAACCGUGGAAGUUAAUUAAGGGAAACCUCACUAGAACAGGGCCAGGAUGUUUGGCAAAGAGAGCUCUCAGGCCCUACCACUCAUCGUUAAUUGCAAAUUUGAUGGGAAGCGAGGCACCUUGCACUUGCGAACCUCUUUACCACCCAGAGGAGGAAGAAAGGCUUUGCUCCUCCCCCGGCAACAAGCCAGCCAAUGAGAGAUGGUCGCAACACGGCCAAUGGGAAGCCAUUAUACUUCUAACUCCCAGUUUACUCCAAUGAACUCUGUGUUUACAACAACCUCCCCAAUUCUCGCUUUCGCUGCAAAAGAGCGCCCAUCGCCUUUUCCCCCCAGGGCUUGCCUGGGGUUUUGUCCCAGCUUGUUUGUCCUGGAUUGCAGUUCUCGUCUAUUCCCGAAUAAGCCCAUCUUUUGGUGGUAACAUAACUGGCAGUUUUAUUUUAAAGGUUGACAGAAGUCAGUCUUUUUGUUAAAAGCAACAGAAAAUAGUUUCCGGAGACAGAGUCCCGGGCUCCAGAGGGUCAUCAGGAGACUGGCGAACCGAUAAACCGUCUGGAAUCGAGGUGUCUCCUUUUGAUAGCUGGAGGGAACUCUGGGCUACUCCGUGGCGGCCAGCACGCGCAUCCCGAAGCGCCCUAACUCCGUGGACUUCCAAAGUUGAGCGAGGGGAGACCCCGGGUGCCGGCUGCUCACCGCCAUGCGGUGCUGCUUCCGAAGCAGCUUCACGCGGAUCUGGUCCAUGUUGGUGGCAACUUCCCUCUCGGGCUGAUCCAAGUCCUCUGCGUAUCGCUGCACCAGGGCUUCGGGAAUCCCACAGCGGCCGUGCUGUGAGGGAGAGCAGAAAUGUGGCGUCACGGGUGGCAACGAAUUUCUUCUUUGACAGCAGCAAACACAAGACAAGGUAGACUAAGACACCUACGGCUACUGGGAUGUGUCACCAAAAGUGUUCACUUGAAGUGCAUAGAUUGAGAAUCAUGAUGGGUGUUAGAACAUGUUUACAUCUUGAUCUUUCGGGUACUGAUGAGCUCUGAGGAAAAGGUUUUGAAACCUAAGAACAUAAUUGUCUUGUAUCAGUUGGACCAGUGACCUCACCUCACUGUACUGGAUCAUUUUGCACCACAUGCACCAUUUCCUAAACAACAGGGGAAACGGGCAGACUUGUGCCCUACGGCAGGUAGUCUAGCGUUUGUGGCCCGUCUAUUUUAUACCGCCAAUCCCUAGGCGUGUGCUGUAGACUCAAAUUCUCACUCCUUUCCGUUCUAAGGGAUUUUUAUUCACUAAAUAUCGAGGAGGAGGAGGAAGAUCAUACUGUAAGGCAUUUGUGGUGAAAAGAAGUUUAUAACAAGGCCUCCCAGGGAUGUACUAUAACAAAAUAUGCAUUUCUAGGAAUAAUGUA